This 49-nucleotide non-coding RNA is filed under the name Alexandrium minutum. The record is from RNAcentral. Lineage: Eukaryota; Dinophyceae; Gonyaulacales; Pyrocystaceae.
CUUUUUUUUUUUUUUUUUUUUUUUUUUUUUUUUUUUUUUUUUUUUUUUC